Astatotilapia calliptera (eastern happy) is the source of this 1064-nucleotide long non-coding RNA. Lineage: Eukaryota; Metazoa; Chordata; Actinopteri; Cichliformes; Cichlidae. The record is from Ensembl.
GGCUUGAAUGAGCUCAAAUACUUUUUUCUGUUUGUAAGCUGUAUCUAUGUAAGAGGCUCAGUAUGUGAAUAUAAAUAUGCACCACCGGGUUUGUGUGUGUCACCACAGUUGGAGGUGUUUAAUGAGCACUGAUCGAUGUCUCAUCUGCGCCUCCUUAGCGCUAAUGCAAACAUUUCAUCAGGACAAUGGAACCGUUCAGCCUCUGGUACACACAGAGAACCCAACAGACAAACAGCACAAACCAAACAACGUAUGCAAAUAAGCCAGACAGUCAAGCUUUUGUUCUUACACUCUGUUACAGACAAUUACCCAGUAAGUGCAAUAAACACACCACUGGUAACAAUUUAUAUCUUUUUAGCAUCUUUGAAGGUGUGAAGGAGGUUGGAGUGCAGUCAGCCUGCAGAACAGGCAUGCCAAUAGUGCUUACUGUCCUCUGUGAGUAAAGUGAUUUCUGACAACUCCUAAAUUAAUCCCUGCAGCUAGAUCACAGCCCCGCUUUAUGACUGUUUGUGUGUGUGAGAGGGAAAGUUAGAGACAGAAGUAAUAGCUUGGUGUUAUAAACAGACUCGAGUCGAUAAGUGAUCUAGCUCCUGCUGGGUGGAGAAUGAGAGAAUGAUAUUCAAUUCAGACCCCAAAAUAGGUAAAAAACAAACAAACAAAAAAAAAAAACUCCUGCAGGUUUACUGCUGCUGCUGCAUGAGGGAAUAAAAGGAUGACACUAUUAUUUUACUUUUCCUAUAAAGCUAAUAGCCGCAGAGGUGAGAUAUAGUUAAAAGGCAAAUAUGGGGCAGACUUCAAUGAAAGGGUACCUGGUUACUUUACUUUCUCUCUCACACAAUUUUUUAAAAAGCAUUUCCUCAUUUAGGACUUCACAUCACAGGUGGGGAUUCAGCAAUAUAUGAACAACUUCCAUCCCAUCUCCAAGCUUUCAAUAUUAACAAAAAUCCUUGAAUCUGAGGUAAUUUUGCAGUUAAAACAGUUUUUAUCUCAAAGUCAAAGUAAACUUUACUGUCAUCUCUGCUAUAUACAGUACAGUAGAUAGAGAGAUGAGACGACGAAGCUCC